RNAcentral lists this ribosomal RNA (440 nucleotides) under uncultured bacterium. RNAcentral's name for it is "partial 16S ribosomal RNA". It matches the Rfam family "Bacterial small subunit ribosomal RNA", at positions 338 to 795 of the family's 1533-position model. The record is from RNAcentral.
CCUACGGGAGGCAGCAGUGGGGGAUAUUGCACAAUGGGGGAAACCCUGAUGCAGCGACGCCGCGUGAGGGAAGACGGUCCUCUGGUUUGUAAACCACUGUCCUCAGGGACAAAGAUGACGGUACCUGAGGAGGAAGCCCCGGCUAACUACGUGCCAGCAGCCGCGGUAAUACGUAGGGAGCGAGCGUUGUCCGGAAUUACUGGGUGUAAAGGGAGCGUAGGCGGGAAUGCAAGUUGGUUGUAAAAACUACCGGCUAAACCGGUAGACGCAGUCCACACUGGAGUUCGUGAGUGAAGUAGAGGCAGGCGGAAUGCCGAGUGUAGCGGUGAAAUGCGUAGAUAUUAGGAGGAACACCAGUGGCGAAGGCGGCCUGCUGGGCUUUAACUGACGCUGAGGCUCGAAAGUGUGGGGAGCAAACAGGAUUAGAUACCCGAGUAGUC